UUUGCUUUUCCAAGUUACCUUCUUAAAUCGGCUUUACAAUAGAUUUACAUAGCCUGCAGAUGUGCAGCAACAGAAUAAAACUAAACCCUUCUGAUUUCCAAAUCACCAUCAUUUAAAGAGCUAUAAUUCAUAUUUAAUGAAGAAGAAACAGCAGAAAAAGCAUCCACAAGCAUUUAACAAGCGACUCCAAGAACAUGAAGUUUUUACCCUCUGCUAAAAGCCCUUCACCUUAUUCCUUCAUUUUAUAGGCUGAUGGAACAUGUUUGGAAGAAUUUGGAUGUUUUAGAGCAUUAUUAAAUUAUAAAAGAGCUAAUAUUAGAAAUAAAUGAUAGCUUAGAUUAAAAUGGGAUGGUUGGAGAUUUUCCUGAAAUGUACAAAGAAUGUUCAUUUCAAUGAAAGUAAUUUAUUGCAAACAGACUGAGGAACAAUAACAAGGCUAUAUGUCACUAACCUUGAUUAUAAAGAAUAGAUCUUAGCAGACAACCCCUAUUUUUAUGUAAUUACUAAAUUAGAGGAUGAAAGGAAAGCAGUGGAUACAGACAAAUUUCAGUAAUGCAUUGAUCAAGGGUGACGAAACCUUACUCUCACAACUGAUUUGGAACGGUUGACUCUGAACAUCAUAAUGUGCUUUGCAGGCUGACUAAAAGACCAUAAAUGAAAGUUAAUGAGAACUGGCAAAGUAUUGUGGGUCUGAUGGAGAAUGACAGGAUCUGAAUUAGUUGAAGUCUAAUUUUAAAAUCCUCAAUCGUAAUCUGGACAAGAGUUCUGUCAAUUGUAGGUGGUAAUAAAUAGGGAGGAGCUGAAAAUUCCUGCAAAGGCAGAGCGAUAAUAUAAAGGAGAUUUACAAGAAUAAAAUAUGUGCUCAGAAGAAUCAGAGGGAAAAAAAAGGUAAGUUAAUAUAUCUAGGGACCAGAACAGUCAAUUGGAGAAUGAGCCUGCUUAGCUGGGUAUGCCUUGCAAGAGAAAUCUAGACCAUUGUAAUGGUGGUAGAAUGGCAUUAUUGUGCUAGAUGUAGAUGGAUAUUAUUCCUGAGCCUGCUGUGCUGAAUAACCAUGAAAGGAAGCACAUGGUGUUGCAGAGAUUCUUCUUAUUAGAGAGACAUGAGGACCAGGUACAGGUCGCUCGGUAGCACCGAAGGUCAGUCUCUGACACUGCCCAGUAGCAGAAAGGAAAAGCAUACAAGAACAUAAAGCAAGUAUCCCGAAGCUUAGCAACCAUCAAGGCUAGGGAAUUCCUGAGGUGAAAUCAUGCAGCUCCUAGACUACAAUGUUGAUUUGUAUUUGUGGACCUAUUCUACCAUUUUAGAACCACUUCUUGGCUUUCACAAUAUCAAAAGGCUACAAGUAAUUCAACAUGUAUGAUGUGAAAAAAUAUUACUUUUAUUUAAUUUAGUCUUUCUGCUUGAUAAUCUCACUGAUCACCUCCUAAUUCUUGUAUUAUGACAACUGGUGAAUAGUGUUCCUUUUUCAAUUUCUCUCUAUUGAUCGUGAUUUUAUAUACUUCUGCCAUACCACUUCUCUGUUUUCUGAGCUGAAAAGUCCUUGUUUGUUUAAUCUUUCAUUUUCUGUAGGCCGUUUCCUAUUGGUAAUCAUCCUUGUCACCUUAUGUAUAGCUUUUCUAUUACUAUUAUUUGCUAUCCGAGUUGGAGGGACUGGUAGUGUGCACAGAAUUCAAGAUGUGGAUGCAUAAUUUUGUUUUCUUUAUUGCUUUCUUGAUAGUUACUAAUAUUCUAUCUACGUUUUGACCAGAGAGUGGACAUUUUUGGAAUAUUCCUCACAAUGACUCAAAGAGCACUUUCCUGAGGAGUAAGAGCAAGUUUGAACCCUUCCCUGGCUGCGGUGACUGAAAGCUGCUGUUCCCAAUGACUGGAAGUAUAUGUGAAGUGAAGGCAUGGUCCCUACUGGACAUGAACUACAGCUAUUGGACAUGAAAACAACCAUUAAAAUGGGAUGGAGUGAGAAAUAUAUGGCCUGGGGAGCUGGAUCACAUCCCCGACUUCAUUUAACGCAGCCCUUAGCCAUGAAGUCUUCCUGCGUAAGUACUGGAUAACAACAAGUCUGCCUUGCUGCAACCCGAGAAGAGUGAGAAGCCUCUGGUCUCUGGCGGGAGCCUCGGAGACCUUGGCCUGGGCCAGCCUGGCCUCCACCCUGCCUGGUGUCCCAUCCCAAACACGGGCCCGCAGGCGGCACCUGCAACAGCCUGCAAUAACAGCACAGGGGGCUUGACAGCUAUUGUGGAAAUGAAAUGUUGCUGGCACUGCGACUCCAUGUGCUAUCACUUUGAUUCAAUGCAUCCAAGGAUUAUGAUUUUUGAAACCACGGAUGUCUGAAGUUUGGCUAAUAACAGACAGGCUUGUCAGCUACCCUGUGUCAAGGAUAACUACAUCUCCCUGGGAAGCAGAGACUGAAGAGCCAGAGUUACGUCCUCACACUAUGAGAUCUCUAAUUAACUGCAGCACCCAAAGCAGACCAGCCUGAAAUCAAUAUAUUAAGCUCCUAUCAAUGGGAAAAAUCCUCAAAUCCAUUAGCAAUUUAGAAACAGAAACAAUGUAGGAGUAUUGGAAAACUAUAUUUUAUCAUCUUUCAGAGGCUGUUCAAUAUUUUUGCAGGGUUUUGAAUGGAAUAAGAUUUGUUUCUCUGCAGUUUUAUAGAACUCAGCUGUUGGGCCUCUCCUACCACACAGUUAUAUUGAAUUACUUAAGGAAUUGUGCUGUGCUAUAGAUAACAAUGCCUGAUGUGCAUAACAUAUGGUAAAGAAUCCAAUACAAUAUUAUGAUGCCAUAUUAGAUUUUUGUCAGCUUUUCAUUAGUGUUCAGUAGACUGUCCAAGGUCUCACACCAGGGCCCAGGGCUCUGCUGUGCUAAUGUGAGUUCAUUCCUGCCCACUGCCUUGCACUAAUGCCCAGGUGUGCCUCAUUCAGUAACAAGCCUCCACCUCCCCAAUGCCCUUAUAUCAUGGAGAAGCUCUUUAGCAAUCCCAGGCUCCUGUUUGCCAUGAGGGCAGGUAUAUGUGGGCCUGGCAAUGCAAGAGACUGUCAGGAAUUUAAGCUACCACCUGCAAGUCUGACUUUUUGGUUAAAGGGCCCCAAAUAUCUACUCAAAUGCUGAUAUGGAGUGAAAAAAGUCACAAGUAUGAAAGCUGCUAGUGCUCUGGAUCAUUCUAUCUUGAACCUCGGUCUGUGGCUGAGAACACAACACCUGAACUUCUGGUUAUAUGUCGUUCUUAUCUUCAGACCUGCGUAACAGUUGCUGAACUGCAGCUCUCAGGUACUGUUAAUUGUAAAAAAUAUGGGUUCUUCCUUCAAGGGAAGUGAAAGUGUUUGGUACAUCUAAAUGCAGAAUGAUUGGAGAAGGUAGCCAUGGAAAAGGCUCUGUCCUCUCUGCUGUUAUAUUAAUUAUUUGAUUAUUUGAGAAUGCAGUUAAGAUACUUCCAGUGAAUACAAGUGUAGGCUCUUGGGUACCUUCUGUGCUAGGCUUGAAUGACACUAUCUUUCUUGCUGCCCGGCUACAAUCAACUCUAGAUAAAAAGGAUGUAUUUAACAGAUGGACAGAGGCAAUCCAGGCAGGCAUAAGAAAUACUUUGAAUUUCUUUACUCUCUUGCCAUUCUCCCAGUGCCUGACUUAGGGCUUCUAGUUCAUUUGAAUUCAUCAGUGCUAUGAUUGCUAUGUAACUGAAGAUUGCCUGCAUAUGAGUACAGGUCUUCUCAAGAUAACUUAAGGAUAUGAGGCGUUUCUUACUUGUUGCUUUUUGUAUGUCUGGGAUUGAAGACUCACACCUGAAAAAAAGCUGUAGUUGUGUCCUGAAAGCAGUUGUCUGUUUGCUUAGCCACAUAAGUUGCUACUAGGAACCUGUGACUCUGCUCUGUGCGUCAGAUUUCUAUUUACCUUGUAUUUGAGAUAGAUUUUAUAGUAGUUUUGAAAGUUGUCCGUAGGAUCGGUCCUAGCUCAAUAAUAGAUUGCUUGUCUCUCCCGGGCAUUGG
Dromaius novaehollandiae (emu) is the source of this 3978-nucleotide long non-coding RNA. RefSeq lists it as uncharacterized. The transcript is spliced from 4 exons. Lineage: Eukaryota; Metazoa; Chordata; Aves; Casuariiformes; Dromaiidae. The record is from RefSeq and is a predicted model, not a curated record.